CGCCCCCAGCAGCUCCCCACUCCCCCAGCCUGCCCCCACCCUCCCCACAUUCCAAUCUUUCACUGUCGCCCCAGGCAACUUGGCUGCCCAAGACCAAGCCCCACCGAGAAGCUGGAGGGCCAGGCGAGUCCAGGAUGGGCAAGCAAGGAGGCAUGAGAAGGAGAAACAGAGCUCCUUAUCAGUGUAAUUGUGGGGACUGGUCACCAGCUCUUGCUUGAGCUUUUCCAGAAGAAACUUCACUACUGAAAUAUUCCAAGAGGACUUGAUGCUGCCACAAAGAGAAGAGAAUGAAUAAGGUUGUCCGCUUUGUAAGAGCCAGACAAACAGAGGUACCCGGCACUAAUCAACUUUGUGGCAAAUCCCUCCAUGGCCUAAGAAGAAUCCCUAGCAGCAAUCCUCAAGAGCCCCAGCCGAUUAGAGAGAUGCCUCUUUGAUUCCGUCCCAGAGCUAAAGAUUGGAACAACUGUCCCUCCCGCUCUAAACCCACAGUCUGCCACAAGAACAUUUUAAACCUUCCUCCAUGAUGAGCAGCAAAACUCCCUGACUGGUCCUCCAGAUCCUUCUCAAGCACAGAAUAGAGAGAGCAUGAUGGUGAGUGAGCAUACUGUCCUUCCUGCACGUCUUCAGUUCCACCACACUCUCCUAAGGGAAGGAAGAAGCCAGGCCUCAACGCUGUACCUCUCUCUGGAGGCAGCAGGCACAAGUGGAAUGGAAAUGAUGGAAAAUCCUGCUUUUAUGCAAAUUGUAACUAUAAACUCAUUAUAGUCAAUAUGAACAUUGUAUGGCUAAAGAAUAUCUCCAGCCGAGCGCGGUGGCUCAUGCCUGUAAUCCCAACACUUUGGGAGGCCAA
This is a non-coding RNA of Macaca mulatta (Rhesus monkey), 850 nucleotides long. Lineage: Eukaryota; Metazoa; Chordata; Mammalia; Primates; Cercopithecidae. The record is from RefSeq and is a predicted model, not a curated record.